CGGGGCGGCUCCGCCUGUCUGCAGGCCGCUGGCUCCGGGGAGCGCGCCUUGGGCGAGCUGCUGCUGGAGUUCUCGAGGGCGCAGUACCGGGCCCGGGAAAGCGGGGGCGCGGCUGGGGGCAGCGGCAGCGCGGGGAGCGGCAGUAGGAACAAGGUAGAGCACAUUGAAAAAUGCUGCCUUGAAUUGUUCAGUAGGGAUUAUUGCUACAACUUGAUCCACAAUGUGAAUGGUGAAAUCUGCAGUCAUUACCCACGUCUGAUUGUCAUUUUGGAAUAUGAGAGCAGUGACCGAGAAAGGCAUACAUUACAUACUUUACUGCCUCACCUCAGUCCUAACACCUAAUUCUGAAGGAGAAGGAUAAUGUAUUGGGCUUUCUUGAACAAAGGCACAUUUGCACAUCUAAAUUAAUUUGCAUUAAUUGUUGUAUGCCGCCCAGAGUCACCUUGUGUGAGAUGG
Molecule: non-coding RNA, 456 nt
Organism: Python bivittatus (Burmese python)
Lineage: Eukaryota; Metazoa; Chordata; Lepidosauria; Squamata; Pythonidae
Source: RefSeq, a predicted model, not a curated record